GCAUUCGGGUAAGCGGGUUGGGUUCGGGUGAAACCUGAUCAGAGUAAAACCCGAUCAUGUACGGAUCUUUUGGAUAGAGAAGUUUAGGACCUAAUAGAGUAAAUCUAAAAUAUCGAUUCGGUUUUGGUUUGGAUCCAAUCGGGUUCGGGUCGUUCGGAUAUAAAUUUUUGGGUCUUUUUUGGAUAUGAUACCUGAAUUUUCAGGUAAAUACUCAUAUAUUUCGGAUAAAAUUUUGGGUUUCGGGUAAAAUUUAGAUUUUCCAAUAAAAUAUUCUGGUAUUUUCAGGUUCGGGUUUGAUUUUUUGGGUAGAAGAAUUUAGGACCUAAUAGGGUAAAAUUUCGGGUUCGGAUUCAGUUUCAGAUCUAUUUUUUCGGAUCAGUUCCAGUUUAGAUAAUCGGUUCUGGUUUUUUGCCCAACCCUAGGUGACACUAAAACAUAUUUUUCUUCAAUUAUAUUCCAACUUUACUUUUUUACGUAGGUAAAUACUCUUCCAUGGAAUUUAUAAGAGUGAAUAAGUGAGCUCUUGACGUAUGCAAUGUAAAUUUAUGUAUAGAAUGAACAUUCAUGUUUGUUGUCUAAUAAUUAAUAAGAAAUGUGACACGUUUAGGCACUUUUAGAGAAUUUUAUUCCUUUUGAGACACUUGUCAGGGAUGAGGUACUUUUCCAACUUUUUCAUUAAACUUUUGACCAAUUUACCCCUGAAAAUUAAGAAAUUAUAAUUAAAAAAAAAGUUUCAUCUCUCCACGUUCCCUUUUUUUCCUUAUUCUUCGUCGCUUCUUCUUGUCACUCUCUUUCUCUCUCUUCUCAUUAUUACUUUUUUUCUUUCCUUGCAAAAUCAAACAUUUGAGAGUUUGUCAAGAUCGUGUAGCUUCCCAACAAAUAUCAGAUUUUAAAUAUUAUAUC
RNAcentral lists this small RNA (903 nucleotides) under Arabidopsis thaliana (thale cress). RNAcentral describes it as "ATSL216650". The record is from RNAcentral. Lineage: Eukaryota; Viridiplantae; Streptophyta; Magnoliopsida; Brassicales; Brassicaceae.